CUUUACUGUAUCCUGGAAUUGAAUUUGGGUUUAUUUUGCGCAGUAUAGGUGGGAGACUAAGAUAAUAUAUUUACGGAUAUAUAGGAGUCACAAGUGAGAUACCACUCUAAUUAAACUAGAAUUCUAAUCUUGAUGCCGUUAUCCGGCCAAGAGACAUUUUCAGGUGGGCAGUUUGACUGGGGCGGUCGCCUCCUAAAAGGUAACGGAGGCGUGCAAAGGUUUUCUCAGGCUGGUCGGAAAUCAGUCGUAGAGUGUAAAGGCAUAAGAAAGCUUGACUGCGAGAUCUACAAAUCGAGCAGAGACGAAAGUCGGCCUUAGUGAUCCGACAGUUCUGAGUGGAAAGGCUGUCGCUCAACGGAUAAAAGUUA
RNAcentral lists this ribosomal RNA (368 nucleotides) under Herposiphonia sp. ARS-2011. Its description in RNAcentral is "bacterial LSU rRNA". It matches the Rfam family "Bacterial large subunit ribosomal RNA", at positions 2099 to 2465 of the family's 2925-position model. The record is from RNAcentral. Lineage: Eukaryota; Rhodophyta; Florideophyceae; Ceramiales; Rhodomelaceae.